RNAcentral lists this transfer RNA (76 nucleotides) under Actinomycetota bacterium. RNAcentral's name for it is "tRNA-Pro". It matches the Rfam family "tRNA". From Rfam's summary of the family: Transfer RNA (tRNA) molecules are approximately 80 nucleotides in length. The record is from RNAcentral. Lineage: Bacteria; Bacillati; Actinomycetota.
CGGGCUUUAGCUCAGGCAGUAGAGCGCUCGCUUCGGGAGCGAGAGGCCGCAGGGGCGGAACCUGCAAGCCCGACCA